This 443-nucleotide ribosomal RNA is filed under the name uncultured Bacillota bacterium. Its description in RNAcentral is "bacterial SSU rRNA". It matches the Rfam family "Bacterial small subunit ribosomal RNA", at positions 917 to 1359 of the family's 1533-position model. The record is from RNAcentral. Lineage: Bacteria; Bacillati; Bacillota.
GGGCCCGCACAAGCGGUGGAGCAUGUGGUUUAAUUCGACGCAACGCGAAGAACCUUACCAAGGCUUGACAUGGAAGCGACCGGUCUGGAGACAGGCCCUCCCUUCGGGGCGCUUCACACAGGUGGUGCAUGGUUGUCGUCAGCUCGUGUCGUGAGAUGUUGGGUUCAGUCCCGCAACGAGCGCAACCCUUAUAUUCAGUAGCCAGCGGGUAACGCCGGGCACUCUGGAUAGACUGCCGUGGGUAACACGGAGGAAGGCGGGGAUGAGGUCAAAUCAUCAUGCCCCUUACGUCUUGGGCUACACACGUGCUACAAUGGCUGCAACAGAGCGAGGCGAAGGCGCGAGCCGGAGCAAAGCGCAAAAAAGCAGUCCCAGUUCGGAUUGCAGUCUGCAACUCGACUGCAUGAAGUUGGAAUCGCUAGUAAUCGCGGAUCAGCAUGCCG